This 402-nucleotide ribosomal RNA is filed under the name bacterium. RNAcentral describes it as "partial 16S ribosomal RNA". It matches the Rfam family "Bacterial small subunit ribosomal RNA", at positions 355 to 776 of the family's 1533-position model. The record is from RNAcentral.
UGGGGAAUUUUGCACAAUGGGGGAAACCCUGAUGCAGCGACGCCGCGUGAUUUAGAAGGCCUUCGGGUUGUAAAAAUCUUUUCUAUGGGAAGAAUAUGACAGUACCAUAGGAAUAAGGACCGGCUAAUUACGUGCCAGCAGCCGCGGUAAUACGUAAGGUCCGAGCGUUGUCCGGAAUCAUUGGGCGUAAAGGGUACGUAGGCGGGUAAGCAAGUUAGAAGUGAAAUCCUAUAGCUCAACUAUAGUAAGCUUUUAAAACUGCUCAUCUUGAGGUAUGGAAGGGAAAGUGGAAUUCCUAGUGUAGCGGUGAAAUGCGCAGAUAUUAGGAGGAAUACCGGUGGCGAAGGCGACUUUCUGGCCAUAACCUGACGCUGAGGUACGAAAGCGUGGGUAGCAAACAGG